AAAUAUGAAUAUUGGUAGCAGUUCGCGGUAGCACGAAUUCACGAACUGCUACUAAAAGUGUCAAAAUCGGAACACAACUCUUUCGUAGCAUUGAAUUUGCACUAGGAAAAAAAUCUAUCAAGCGGGAACACAAAAAUCACAAAUUUUGUUUAAGAUAACACUUUGGUGGGGAAAUUUUUUUUUUGUCCGCCAACACUUAGAAAAAAAUUGAUUAUUCCCUCUGUUUUUUUUUUCCCCUCUCUCAUCUCUAACGCUGAAUUUUUUUUUUUCCUUAUUUCAUUCUAUCGAUGCUCUUCCAUCAUCUUCUUCAAUCAUAAACCUUGUUCAAAAUCAAAACUUAUGAACCUAAAUUCCAUGCCAAUCGAAGACACUAAGCUGAGAACCAAACCCUAAUAGUGCCUUCCUCUGUCGCUCUUCACCACCAUGGCUUGAAGAGAUAAGGUUGCAGAGGAUGUCGGUUAUUGAUAAAUGCUUAUGAAUUUCAAAGUUCUCGACGCCGUCUAGGUUUGUUGUCAGGGACGCUCUGCCAGUCUAUAGAAGUUGAAGAAGAAGACGAACAAGCUGUUCAGCUACGCUCUACCAGUUACUAUCACCACCAAAACUAGAUCUUCUUCUAGCUUUUCUCAAGGUGAAAACAAAGAGGGAUGAGUUUCCUUGGCCUUUUCAUCGGUUCUGCGGGUGUAUGUAUGGAGCAAAACAUAAUCCUUACAUCCACAUGAGUUUCCUUGGCCUUUUCACUUUUACAGCAUAUUAUUUACCAUGGGUACUACUUGGAUUCUCUGUCUUACUUACAUCAACUGCAAAGGACAUAAUAAACAUGUUCUUUAAGGCUGUGUGUGGAGAGGUGUGUACAUAAAGUAGCUAACUUUGAUGAGUUUACAGGUCACUGGAACGGAUAUAAAACUCAUCGUUGAGUUUCUCAGGUUGUCUUUUGCUUUGAGUUCAUGUUUCAUAUCAAGAGCAAGAUAACCAAAAUGGGAUCGAAUUGCAGGCUGAUGAGAUUUCAAGGAUAUGUUUUUGCUCUCUUUUGUUGUUUGAAAAUGUAAGCUCUUUAUCUUAACAACAGGUGAUGCCUUGAUCUAUCUUAAAGCUGUCAAGGAUAUGUUGCAGGCUGAUAAGAUGACAAGGAUAUGUCUUAGAUGUGAAGUCUUACGAUAACGGUUAUCGUGAUCCAUGGAUAUAUUCAACGUUACAGCUAUGCGUAGUCCAUGUUUCUCUCUGUUUGGCUUUUCUUGUUCGAUUCCUUGAGCUUGAGCCUUCAAUGCCAUUUACUCCCUCGGUGAUGGAAGUGGCCAGAUCUUGUCUUUAUGGAUACAAUGGAACUACACCAGAUCUAAAGCAACAUGAAGCGUGUAGAUCAACAGGUGAACCCUGUGUCGUUGGUACCUUCCCUUGAGGCGGAGUUAGAGGAAGCACACGCUCACAUUUUCGAGAAUGAGAAGCGGACUCACAGGAAGAAGCUUGAGCAGUUCUUGAGGAAAGUCAGUGAGGACAGGAGAGAGCUGCUUGGUGGAGCAGAGAGCACGAGAAGGUCCGAGCAAUCAUCGACGACAUGAAAUCUCGGCGACUGCAGCUGAAGAGAAAUUAUAAGGUAACCAAGAAGGAUGAUCCAAAGGUGACAGUUUUGAUGCAACAAGCUGAGUUUCUCAGUUAAUUGGCUCAGAAAAAUUAUACAGACAACACAGAACAAAGCAUGGAGGAGCUGAUGGAGACUAUUGGCAAAGUGGAUUUGCAAGUUUUGAAAUUAUGUAGUGGGUUGAUUUUAGACGUGGAAUGUAUAUCUUGGAUAAGUUAUGCUUUAAAUAAUUAUGUAUUUUUGGA
This is a long non-coding RNA of Raphanus sativus (radish), 1821 nucleotides long. RefSeq lists it as uncharacterized. The transcript is spliced from 4 exons. NCBI's taxonomy places the organism in Eukaryota, Viridiplantae, Streptophyta, Magnoliopsida, Brassicales, Brassicaceae. The record is from RefSeq and is a predicted model, not a curated record.